RNAcentral lists this transfer RNA (76 nucleotides) under Hominimerdicola alba. Its description in RNAcentral is "tRNA-Lys". It matches the Rfam family "tRNA". Rfam says of the family: Transfer RNA (tRNA) molecules are approximately 80 nucleotides in length. Their secondary structure includes four short double-helical elements and three loops (D, anti-codon, and T loops). RNAcentral also lists the same sequence under 31 other names. The record is from RNAcentral. Lineage: Bacteria; Bacillati; Bacillota; Clostridia; Eubacteriales; Oscillospiraceae.
GCACCAUUAGCUCAGAUGGUAGAGCAACUGACUCUUAAUCAGUGGGUCCUGGGUUCGAGUCCCCGAUGGUGCACCA